GUCACCCCGUCAACCAGUGUCGGUCUCGCGUCGGGGACAGAUGUGCGUGGCGAGUGUAUCUCCCUGGGUGUGUAUGUGUGUCCACGCCUAUCAAGUGACCACAUAACUUUCUUUCCCUGGUGAUAUGAAGGCGUGGACGCUGCCAUAGUGAAAAACAAGCUGCCCUGUCACUCGUGACUCAGGAGAGCGGCAAGUCCUGGGGCUACUACAUGGGGCACUCCUACCCCCCCCCGGCGCCCCCCCAGCCCAAUUCAGUAAUCGCCCUCAUCCCCCGAGGACCCCGCCCCCCCUAUCUGCGAGGGAAACAAGCAACAUGAAAAAGGAAGGAAGGAGUUAAGAACUGAAAUGUUGGUGGCACAGUGUGUGGUGGUAAUAUCGACUUGAAAUACAGGCAAUGUGAUAACAAACCCACUGUAACUUUACCUUGGCUGGACAACGAGAGACGACCAGUUAAAGAUUCAAGUGUUUCCACACUAAAUGAAAUGUUUGUUGUGUGUUUGUUACGAACGUGAAAUACAGGUAACACGACCUACAAAACUAACUUAACAUUACAUCACACUAAAUCAAACUUAACUUCACCCUAACUUUGCAGGAAAAGAGAGAAAGAAUCACCUUCCUGUGUUUUCGAGACAGCGUGAGUGGCUCGGCUUCGUGAACCUACACUGCGCCUCUUCCCCCUCACUCUCUCUCUCUCUCUCUCUCUCUCAUCAGCCGCACGGAGACACGGACGCAAGGGCACCCCUCACUGUCACUCCCUGCCAGGACGCACGAACACACACAUACGCGCAUACUCCAUCAUCUGGAUGAGGGAGCACAACUGUGUGUGUGACGAGCUGCUCAAGACUCACCCAAAUCUUGGGAUGACAACUGCCUCUACCAGACUGUCCGCCUUACUGUCAUCAUUGUCAUCAGUGAGGAGAGAGAGGGAGAGAGAGAGAGAGAGAGAGAGAGAGAGAGAGAGAGAGAGAGAGAGAGAGAGAGAGAGAGGUGACUAGUAAGAUGGAAGGUUAGAUAAUGAGAUAUUUUGGUAAGGUGGAGGAAAUGGAAGUGAAGGUUUGUUUUGGAAGGCAAGUUUGAAAUUAGAAGGGUGGAGUGAGUGAGAGAGCUGACAUCAAGGAACCACACACACGCUCUCUACCCAGUGCUGGAGGAGGUGAAUGAAAACGGCCGCCAGCUGAGGUUCCAGGGGCUCUACACGUACCGCAGGAGGUUUAGCAUGCAGCCCUUCACCUCCUUCCUAGACCUGGCUGGUGACCCCAAACUGGCGGCUGACCUGGAGCACUUCUGCAGGGACAUAGAGGCUGUGGAGUACUAUGUCAGUCUUGUCACGGCACGCCCCAGCCCCUCGGUCACCCUGCCGUCCACGGUCAGUUUGGGAGGCCCCUGGAGUGUGAAGGGGCUUGUGGCUGCCCAUUUACAGCCCUAAUUACUGGAAGUCCUCCACUUCUGGCAGCAAGGAAGGCUUUCAGGUCGUCAAGACAGCCACUCUGAAGAAACCCUUCUGCCUCAACAUGAAAACAGGCCGUUAGAAUGAGAAUGUCGCGUUCACAGUCUCUCCCUGGUACGUCCUGAGCUUCCAGGGCUGUGUUAGGGUACAUUCAUGCUACGGCUGCGUCUUCAGGUCCUCCCAGCCCAUCCUGGUGCACCCCGAGUCCCUGAAUGUGGGUUAGGGUGUCGGGGUGUGUGGCUGUUGCCUGGGAGGUGAGUUGAAGCUUCUCACAGUUAAAGUUUGGGUGCCCAAGUGUGUGUGUGUGUGUGUGUGUGUGUGUGUGUGUGUGUGUGUGUGUGUGUGUGUGUGUUGGUGUGUGAGGCAAGUGAAGCUUGGGUAUUUAUUUGUGUAGGUGGAGUGUGCUUACAUUUCCUUGUUUAUUGAUUUUUAAUGAUAGGCAAGGUGGAACUAUUACUUAUUUUAUUAUUUUAUGUAUCUAUUUAUUUAUUUACUUAUUUUUGUAAAAGGGGAAUAUGAUGGUUGUGUUAUUUGUUAUUAUUUGUAUUGACAGCAAGAAAAGACUCUGAUCUCUUCCCUUUUGCAGAGAUCUCCAUUCUUGGAGACUUCAAUGUUCACCACCAGCUUUGGCUUUCCUCUCCCUUCACUGACCAUCCUGGUGAACUAGCCUACAAUUUUGCUAUCCUCCAUGACCUAGAGCAAUUGGUGCAACACCUUACUCGUAUUCCUGAUCGUCUUGGAGAUACGCCCAACAUUCUUGACCUUUUCCUGACCUCUAAUCCUUCUGCUUAUGCUGUCACCCUUUCUUCUCUGUUGGGCUCCUCCGAUCACAAUCUCAUAUCUUUAUCUUGUCCUAUCACUCCAAUCCCUCCUCAGGAUCCCCCUAAGCGAAGGUGCCUCUGGCGUUUUGCCUCUGCUAGUUGGGGGGACCUGAGGAGGUAUUUUGCUGAUUUUCCUUGGAAUGACUACUGCUUCCGUGUCAGAGAGCCGUCUUUGUGUGCUGACCGCAUAACAGAGGUGAUAGUGUCUGGCAUGGAGGCGUACAUUCCUCACUCUUUUUCUCGUCCUAAACCUUCUAAACCUUGGUUUAACACAGCUUGUUCUCGUGCUAUACAUGAUAGAGAGGUGGCCCACAAAAGGUACUUAAGCCUUCCUUCACCAGAAUCUCAUGCACUUUAUAUUUCUGCCCGGAACCAUGCCAAGUCUGUUCUCCAACUAGCCAAAAACUCCUUCAUUAACAGAAAAUGUCAAAACCUUUCAAGAUCUAACUCCCCUCGUGAUUUCUGGCAUCUAGCCAAAAAUAUCUCCAAUAACUUUGCUUCUUCUUCUUUCCCUCCUCUACUUCAACCAGAUGGCACCACUGCUAUCACAUCUAUUUCUAAAGCUGAACUCUUUGCUCAAACCUUUGCUAAAAACUCUACCUUGGACAAUUCUGGGCUUGUUCCUCCCUCUCCUCCACCCUCUGACUACUUCAUGCCACGUAUUAAAAUUCUUCGUAAUGAUGUUUUCCAUGCCCUCGCUAGCCUAAACCCUCGGAAGGCUUAUGGACCUGAUGGGGUCCCUCCUAUUGUUCUCCGAAACUGUGCCUCCGUGCUUGCACCUUGCCUAGUCAAACUCUUUCAGCUCUGUCUGUCAACAUCUACCUUUCCUUCUUGCUGGAAGUUUGCCUACAUUCAACCUGUUCCUAAAAAGGGUGACCGCUCUAAU
RNA transcript from Scylla paramamosain (green mud crab), 3154 nucleotides. It is a transcript of the gene named prostaglandin G/H synthase 2-like, with no coding region annotated. The transcript has 6 exons. NCBI's taxonomy places the organism in Eukaryota, Metazoa, Arthropoda, Malacostraca, Decapoda, Portunidae. The record is from RefSeq and is a predicted model, not a curated record.